AUCCUCCACCAAUGCUGUUCUGAUACUGCUAUCCACUUCCUGUCCUGGUAUGAAACACUGGAAAUGCCAGAAAAAGUCAGUUCAGCCUGUCACAGACUGAGGUGGGUCACCACUAAAGCUAAUGUUUGGCUGAGCAGGCUUUUCAUGGGUCGUCAAACCAGCACAGGAAGUGGAGAGCAGCGGGGACCACAGCAGUGGUGGGGAUCAGGGGAGAUAAGUAUAGCUUCUUUGUUAUUUCUGACAGUUUAUGAUUUUUUUUUUUAAACUCCUUAAAUGGAGUCUGUCACAAGGAAAUUCACGUUCAGCCAAGCAUUAUAUCUUGUGCAAUCCAUUGCUUCAUUCUGGAGAAAAAGUACCUGCCCCUGUAAACCAAGAAGGAGAGGGAGAGUCCGGCAGAGAAAGUAAAAGGACCAAGGGUGCACAGAGUUACUAAGCAGUUAAGCGUCAGUCUCUGUUUACUCGGUUUCAUACCAUAUACCACUGAAGCCAGUGCAUGGCUGCAUCGGUCACAUGGUUAUGCAGGCACAUCAGGGAAUGAUGGGGAGGAACAUAGCAGCCACACUGUAACAGCAGGGGAAUAAAUGGAAAUGAAUACCCUAGUUUAUUCCAGGAAAUCUGUCAGUAGAUUGGAGACCACCAACCUGCUGAUACUGCUUAAAAGGUCAGAUGGAGUCAAAUACAAUCAUCCCUCUGUUGCUGAUCAUACCCCAAGACUAAAGGAGAAAUGCCAAUGAGAAGGAAGCAAUGUCAAGAUCACAACAAUACUUAGGCCUGAAGCCUAUCAGAGGCCAGUGCAGUCGGAGCGAUGACGUCAUCGUACUAUCUUCUAAGCACCUCUUAUAAUGUCAUCUGAUAUAAGUUACAUUAUGUCCUCCAGAAAUAUACAUAAAAAAAUAUGUUAAAUGUAAUGGUUCAUGUAUUUAUCCUGGUUAUCAGCAGGUGGCAACAUCAUUGGCAGAGAUAGUUUUAAUGUUAUGGCACUUCAGAGUGGAACAUUCCUGUUCUAUUCUGCCCCCCUUCUGGAGAGAGGUGGGCGAGUCCCUCUUUCUGCAGCAGGGGAGGGAAGAAACAGAACUAGAUAUAGUUUACCCCCUGUUGGGGAAAGGAGGGUUUCGAGUGGUACUCUCUCCUUAGGGAAGAAAGUAGGGGCAAGUCUCCGCAAGAGAUGUGGCCAUAUACCCAGUCUGAGCACCUUCAGCUCUGCUGGAUGAAGAAGCAGAAACUACAGCCAAACUCCAGAGUUCCAGGAAGAAAGCAUCCCCUGAGAAUCCAUCUGUGAGAUGAGUCAAGAG
Long non-coding RNA from Bufo gargarizans (Asiatic toad), 1292 nucleotides. RefSeq lists it as uncharacterized. The record is from RefSeq and is a predicted model, not a curated record. Lineage: Eukaryota; Metazoa; Chordata; Amphibia; Anura; Bufonidae. The transcript has 4 exons.